RNAcentral lists this unclassified non-coding RNA (2740 nucleotides) under Hevea brasiliensis (rubber tree). Lineage: Eukaryota; Viridiplantae; Streptophyta; Magnoliopsida; Malpighiales; Euphorbiaceae. The record is from RNAcentral.
GAGAGAGAGAGAGAGAAGUGAAAUACUAUUUGGUCUUGACAAACAAAUGCCUGGCUUGAGAGAAAAAACCAUAAUGUAAAUAAAUGCAACAAUUCUACAUAUAGUUUUUGGGGUAUCAAAUCUCAAGUAAUACUUGCAAUCCUAAAUCUCCUGUGCCACCAUUGGCUUGAUUAAUAUUUAUAAGGAACCAAAGGAAGGUCCUAAGUGAAUAUCUGAUUGCAAGAUUGUAUUUUUACAUGUGUAUACAAUUCUCUAAUUUAUUUAAACACAAAAAACUUGUGACAAACAAAAAGUGACUAAAGAAUGAUCUGACGGUGACGGAAGAAUUUUCUCAUCUUCUCACACCAGUCAAAGCAUGUUUAUCCCACGUAGUGAGUGAGUGUGUGCGUGUGCGUGUGUGCUCAAGUGUGCGUGUGGAGGGAGGAGGAAAGAGAGAGUAUUAGGCUAACUUAAACUGUUAAGAAUGAUGAUUACACCCAAGGAUUUAGUAGGCAAAAGUUGGUGAAAUUAGUAAAUUUUGACUCUGCAUUAGUUUCUUAGGCAUCACUCGUCACAUUUGAGCCAUCCAGAAUGCAAAUACACUAAUCCAUCUGUUAAUCAAACUGUGAAGACCAAUUUGUAGAAUUCAAUUAAUCCACAUAAAGAAAAUUUAGAGAAUGAUUCACUUCAACAGUAAGCUAGGCAACAAAUGAGAUGAUUUUAAAAAGUAUUAAGCAGUAAGUUGUGACAACAAAAACAAAAACAAAGUCAUCAUUACUAUCUCAAUCACAGUCAUAUGCAGGCCAUUAGAAUAAUCAUGAUAAACGAACUUACCCGUGGAAUUACCUUCAAUUUGAAUGAUGCAAGUGAAAGUAACAUGUACCCUGUCAAAAGUUGAACUUGUGACUCUCCAGCAAAAAUGAGCAUACAACAGUUCUUUUGCUUUUAAUAAAGUCAAAUGAAGUGAGCCAAAAGAAGCAAUAGAAGGUCAAGGGUUAAAUCUCUUACAAACCCCUCCCUUUGAAAAUUUCCAAUGUACCGAAAAAAAGAGAGUGAAGAAAAAGACACGACUGACUGAGGCUCUUCUGUUUCACAAUUCACAAAUUAUCAAGUCCUCUACCCAGGAGAUCAUGAUGUAUGAUCAAGAAAUACAACUUUUUCUGCAUUAACAACUAGAGAACAAUGUAAGUAAUAAUAGAUGCCCAACUCUCCCAUACACCACUUAAGCAGCUACCCUACACGUACUCCAUAUGAAACAGUUUGUGGGUUCAGAAGCCUUUGUUUAUUUUGUAUUCUUAACUUCUAACAAGACGGAAUAUUUUCCAAGCCCAGGAGUCUUUUGUCCACGUAUUUUAUUCUUAACCUCUGGCAAGACGCACAAAAUUUUCCAAUCUCCAGAGACUUUUGUCCAGGUCGAACAUAGAACCUCUCCAAACUAUGCUGGUAGUUGUCACGUUCACAUCACUCUUCACUUCUGUAGUUGUCCACUUGGAUACUCACCUCAUUUGGGUAAACGAAAAAUUUUAUUUGAGCAAGAAGUCAAGUUUUAUUCAGAUAUGUACAAUAAAGUAAAUUGGUACACCUUAUUAUUUGGAAGAAAGAUUGUUAUGCCAGAUAUGGCCAUUGUGAACCCACUACAUAUUUUGGCAUAGCUAUUUCUAUGAUACAUUAAUGAGUAUUGCGGAUGCUUGCUGCAGGCAUGCAUGAUCUCGGGGAUAAACAAAAAGAACAUUCAAAUUUCAGAAUACAGUCGGACUAAGUGCAAGGAAUGAAAGGGUGUGUUCAUGUGCCACUCUCUUUGUGUUUUUUGCCUAGUGGUUUUCCUUUCCCUGUUUUUUCUCUAUUUAACCUCAGAUCUGCCACGCCCAAGUGGAAAUUUUUGUUUCUAUGUCUAAAGAAAUGAGCCUGAAAACACCACUUUCCAAGGAUGAAUCUGAUGCAACUAUCUCACUAUACAUUUCACAUACAUAGGUCGAUCCUUGAACUGAUCCAGCUCUUCUGGAAUUCGAACUACCCUUUCAACGCCUGGAGACGAAACCUGUGGGGAAACACAAAUUUUUAGGCCUUAAUGUUAAAAUUAACAAAUUGUUGAGAAGGCAAACUUCAUUCAUGUUUCAGCUCUUAUGUAGCCAUCACAGAUCCCACUCCUAAACCCAACAACUAAGAUGGCUAACUUCUCAGGCACACAAUAAAUAAGCAACCCACCUUUGCUAUUAAAAUAUCAUUAAUGAGCCAACUGGAUUUACUCAAUCUGUACACUAGAGUUUAAUUCAAGUGGGAAAAUGGAUUCAACAUCCAGCCCCUUCUCCCAAGGAUCAAAAAGAAAAGAAAAUAUAUGUUCUCAGACAAAGACACCCCAAUUAGCAACAUCAAGUUGUGCUGGCACAUAUGAACCCUAGUUUUCAUUUAAAUGAAAAGGAGUUCCCAAACACAGUGCAUUUCAAGUUGUCUGGUACUCUGGUCUCAAAUAAAAUACAAAACUUGGCAUAGACACACCUUGUUCAGUGUUUGCUUCUUAUCAGCACAACCUUUGGUAACCAAUCUAGUGACGAGUGUGAAAUAUUGAAAUUUGGACUCAAGCAUCAAAAGAUUGGCAAACAGCUUCAGCUAUUCUUAAUGUUUCUUUAUCCCAGAACCCAGUUCCCACCAUGUCCCAGCAAGGGCAAUUCCAGCUCCCCCACCCCCAUCUCCAACAUGGAGUUCUGCUUCAUUUCCACGUACUCAUCCUCCAAAUAGUCAUUGUGACCAUCCAUCAAUGCCU